UUAGCUAUUUUAGAUAGGUUUGUAUUCAUUGAAGUGGAUACAAACGACCUAAGUGUUUUUUGUAUCUAUGAUGGCUAGAGAAUUUUGACGUACCGCCGGCCGCAUAGAGAAAUCUAAGUGGCUGAAGCAUAAUAUUUUUUGCAUUCGUAUCACCCACUUAGAGUUUCUAUACUUCUA
Molecule: non-coding RNA, 177 nt
Filed under: Enterococcus hermanniensis
Lineage: Bacteria; Bacillati; Bacillota; Bacilli; Lactobacillales; Enterococcaceae
Description: Enterococcus sRNA 2410
Rfam family: Enterococcus sRNA 2410
About the family: Produced as 2 transcripts on Northern blot. Expressed in mid, late exponential and early stationary phases of growth. Expression remained uniform under daptomycin exposure.
Source: Rfam by way of RNAcentral